CCUACGGGUGGCAGCAGUGAGGAAUAUUGGUCAAUGGCCGUAAGCCUGAACCAGCCAAGUCGCGUGAAGGAAGAAGGAUCUAUGGUUUGUAAACUUCUUUUAUAGGGGAAUAAAGGUAUCCACGUGUGGAUAUUUGCAUGUACCCUAUGAAUAAGCAUCGGCUAACUCCGUGCCAGCAGCCGCGGUAAUACGGAGGAUCCGAGCGUUAUCCGGAUUUAUUGGGUUUAAAGGGUGCGUAGGUGGUUUUUUAAGUCAGCGGUGAAAGUUUGUGGCUCAACCAUAAAAUUGCCGUUGAAACUGGAAGACUUGAGGGUGUUUGAGGUAGGCGGAAUGCGUGGUGUAGCGGUGAAAUGCAUAGAUAUCACGCAGAACUCCGAUUGCGAAGGCAGCUUACUAAGCCAUAACUGACACUGAAGCACGAAAGCGUGGGGAUCAAACAGGAUUAGAUACCCUUGUAGUC
This 460-nucleotide ribosomal RNA is filed under the name uncultured bacterium. Its description in RNAcentral is "partial 16S ribosomal RNA". It matches the Rfam family "Bacterial small subunit ribosomal RNA", at positions 338 to 795 of the family's 1533-position model. The record is from RNAcentral.